UCUCUCUCUGCUCUUAUGUUCACCGCAUUUUUGUUUUCCUUAAUGUUUUUUCUCCCCCCCCACCUCGUUAAACGUUUUUUGAUUGUCUAUUUUUUUUUUUUUUUUUUUUUUUGUAAAUUCCCCAAUAUUACGACAAUGUCAACGUUAAUGUGUAUGUAAAAACAACGGUGUGUCGUGUAUUUUAGGCAGGCGUGUACUGUACAUUUGACGCGAAGCUGGUUUUCACUUUGAUCUGUCAGAUUUUACGAUUUACCAUUUCUGAGAUCAUUGUGAAAGCUAAUUUCGUGACUCACGGUGAAACCAACGCGACGGCCGGGGCCGUUUCCGAAAUCAUCGGCGUCCGCCCGAUUUUGUUGUCAUCGCUUUGCACGCGCGCCGCGCGACGAACAGCGUCGUCGUCGUCGAUAUCGCGCCCGGUAAAUCUCCCCGGGCGGAUUUGUGUCCUUAUCGCCGUUGCGCAUUACGCGUGUGCAUUCGUAUUCGUGUUGCCGUUUUUCCACCCCGAUUUGCGAGCAUGCGACGCACGCGCGGCGGACGGCGAUAGUGACACACGAGGU
This is a non-coding RNA of Cinara cedri, 557 nucleotides long. NCBI's taxonomy places the organism in Eukaryota, Metazoa, Arthropoda, Insecta, Hemiptera, Aphididae. The record is from the annotation of a GenBank genome assembly.